Molecule: ribosomal RNA, 2786 nt
Filed under: Streptococcus pneumoniae
Lineage: Bacteria; Bacillati; Bacillota; Bacilli; Lactobacillales; Streptococcaceae
Description: bacterial LSU rRNA
Rfam family: Bacterial large subunit ribosomal RNA
Source: RNAcentral
AGGGCGCACGGUGGAUGCCUUGGCACUAGGAGCCGACGAAGGACGUGACAAACGACGAUAUGCCUUGGGUAGCUGUAAGUAAGCGAUGAUCCAGGGAUUUCCGAAUGGGGGAACCCAACAGGUAAUACCUGUUACCUACAUCUGUUAAGGAUGUGAGGAGGAAGACGCAGUGAACUGAAACAUCUAAGUAGCUGCAGGAAGAGAAAGCAAAAGCGAUUGCCUUAGUAGCGGCGAGCGAAACGGCAGAAGGGCAAACCGAAGAGUUUACUCUUCGGGGUUGUAGGACUGCAAUGUGGACUCAAAGAUUAUAGAAGAAUGAUUUGGGAAGAUCAGCCAAAGAGAGUAAUAGCCUCGUAUUUAAAAUAGUCUUUGUACUUAGCAGUAUCCUGAGUACGGCGGGACACGUGAAAUCCCGUCGGAAUCUGGGAGGACCAUCUCCCAACCCUAAAUACUCCCUAGUGACCGAUAGUGAACCAGUACCGUGAGGGAAAGGUGAAAAGCACCCCGGGAGGGGAGUGAAAUAGAACCUGAAACCGUGUGCCUACAACAAGUUCGAGCCCGUUAAUGGGUGAGAGCGUGCCUUUUGUAGAAUGAACCGGCGACAGACGUUAUGAUGCGAGGUUAAGUUGAAGAGACGGAGCCGUAGGGAAACCGAGUCUGAAUAGGGCGCCUUAGUAUCAUGACGUAGACCCGAAACCAUGUGACCUACCCAUGAGCAGGUUGAAGGUGCGGUAAGACGCACUGGAGGACCGAACCAGGGCACGUUGAAAAGUGCUUGGAUGACUUGUGGGUAGCGGAGAAAUUCCAAACGAACUUGGAGAUAGCUGGUUCUCUCCGAAAUAGCUUUAGGGCUAGCGUCGACAUUAGAGAUUCUUGGAGGUAGAGCACUGUUUGGGUGAGGGGUCCAUCCCGGAUUACCAAUCUCAGAUAAACUCCGAAUGCCAAUGAAUUAUGGUCGGCAGUCAGACUGCGAGUGCUAAGAUCCGUAGUCGAAAGGGAAACAGCCCAGACCACCAGCUAAGGUCCCAAAAUAAUUGUUAAGUGGAAAAGGAUGUGGGGUUGCACAGACAACUAGGAUGUUAGCUUAGAAGCAGCUAUUCAUUCAAAGAGUGCGUAAUAGCUCACUAGUCGAGUGACCCUGCGCCGAAAAUGUACCGGGGCUAAAACAAUUUACCGAAGCUGUGGAUACCUUUAUAGGUAUGGUAGGAGAGCGUUCUAUGUGUGAUGAAGGUAGACCGUGAGGAGUGCUGGAACGCAUAGAAGUGAGAAUGCCGGUAUGAGUAGCGAAAGACAGGUGAGAAUCCUGUCCACCGUAAGACUAAGGUUUCCAGGGGAAGGCUCGUCCGCCCUGGGUUAGUCGGGACCUAAGGAGAGACCGAAAGGUGUAUCCGAUGGACAACAGGUUGAUAUUCCUGUACUAGAGUAUGUAGUGAUGGAGGGACGCAGUAGGCUAACUAAAGCAGACGAUUGGAAGAGUCUGUCUAAGCAGUGAGGUGUGAAUUGAGUCAAAUGCUUAAUUCUAUAACAUUGAGCUGUGAUGGGGAGCGAAGUUUAGUAGCGAAGUUAGUGACGUCACACUGCCAAGAAAAGCUUCUAGCGUUUAAACAUACUCUACCCGUACCGCAAACCGACACAGGUAGUCGAGGCGAGUAGCCUCAGGUGAGCGAGAGAACUCUCGUUAAGGAACUCGGCAAAAUGACCCCGUAACUUCGGGAGAAGGGGUGCUGACUUAAAGUCAGCCGCAGUGAAUAGGCCCAAGCAACUGUUUAUCAAAAACACAGCUCUCUGCUAAAUCGUAAGAUGAUGUAUAGGGGGUGACGCCUGCCCGGUGCUGGAAGGUUAAGAGGAGUGCUUAGCGUAAGCGAAGGUAUGAAUUGAAGCCCCAGUAAACGGCGGCCGUAACUAUAACGGUCCUAAGGUAGCGAAAUUCCUUGUCGGGUAAGUUCCGACCCGCACGAAAGGCGUAAUGAUUUGGGCACUGUCUCAACGAGAGACUCGGUGAAAUUUUAGUACCUGUGAAGAUGCAGGUUACCCGCGACAGGACGGAAAGACCCCAUGGAGCUUUACUGCAGUUUGAUAUUGAGUGUCUGUACCACAUGUACAGGAUAGGUAGGAGUCUAAGAGAUCGGGACGCCAGUUUCGAAGGAGACGCUGUUGGGAUACUACCCUUGUGUUAUGGCCACUCUAACCCAGAUAGGUGAUCCCUAUCGGAGACAGUGUCUGACGGGCAGUUUGACUGGGGCGGUCGCCUCCUAAAAGGUAACGGAGGCGCCCAAAGGUUCCCUCAGAAUGGUUGGAAAUCAUUCGCAGAGUGUAAAGGUAUAAGGGAGCUUGACUGCGAGAGCUACAACUCGAGCAGGGACGAAAGUCGGGCUUAGUGAUCCGGUGGUUCCGUAUGGAAGGGCCAUCGCUCAACGGAUAAAAGCUACCCUGGGGAUAACAGGCUUAUCUCCCCCAAGAGUUCACAUCGACGGGGAGGUUUGGCACCUCGAUGUCGGCUCGUCGCAUCCUGGGGCUGUAGUCGGUCCCAAGGGUUGGGCUGUUCGCCCAUUAAAGCGGCACGCGAGCUGGGUUCAGAACGUCGUGAGACAGUUCGGUCCCUAUCCGUCGCGGGCGUAGGAAAUUUGAGAGGAUCUGCUCCUAGUACGAGAGGACCAGAGUGGACUUACCGCUGGUGUACCAGUUGUCUUGCCAAAGGCAUCGCUGGGUAGCUAUGUAGGGAAGGGAUAAACGCUGAAAGCAUCUAAGUGUGAAACCCACCUCAAGAUGAGAUUUCCCAUGAUUAU